AGGCUGUGACGACUCCAAACAUUUCUCGAUGCUGAGAGUAUGUUGAACCAUACGGACCGGUGCGCGUAUACGUAUUCUGUACGUAUAUGUCUGCUCUUGUGAUGACUGCGUUUGUGCGUGUCUGAGCCUC
This is a non-coding RNA of Punica granatum (pomegranate), 130 nucleotides long. The record is from Rfam. Lineage: Eukaryota; Viridiplantae; Streptophyta; Magnoliopsida; Myrtales; Lythraceae.